RNAcentral lists this ribosomal RNA (484 nucleotides) under uncultured bacterium. RNAcentral's name for it is "partial 16S ribosomal RNA". It matches the Rfam family "Bacterial small subunit ribosomal RNA", at positions 30 to 507 of the family's 1533-position model. The record is from RNAcentral.
AUUGAACGCUGGCGGCAGGCCUAACACAUGCAAGUCGAGCGGAUGAAGGGAGCUUGCUCCUGGAUUCAGCGGCGGAAGGGUGAGUAAUGCCUAGGAAUCUGCUUGGCAGUGGGGGAUAACGUCCGGAAACGGGCGCUAAUACCGCAUACGUCCUGAGGGAGAAAGUGGGGGAUCUUCGGACCUCACGCUCUCAGAUGAGCCUAGGUCGGAUUAGCUAGUUGGUGGGGUAAAGGCCUACCAAGCCGACGAUCCGUAACUGGUCUGAGAGGAUGAUCAGUCACACUAGAACUGAGACACGGUCCAGACUCCUACGAGAGGCAGCAGUGGGGAAUAUUGGACAAUGGGCGAAAGCCUGGUCCAGCCAUGCCGCGUGUGUUAAGAAGGUCUUCGGAUUGUAAAGCAUUUUAAGUUGGGAGGAAGGGCAGUAAGUUAAUACCUUGCUGUUUUGACGUUACCAACAGAAUAAGCACCGGCUAACUUCGUG